GCUUUACACAUGCAAGUCGAGCGGCAGCGCGGUCUUCGGACUGGCGGCGAGCGGCGAACGGGUGAGUAAUACAUCGGAACAUGCCCAGUCGUGGGGGAUAACACUUCGAAAGAAGUGCUAAUACCGCAUACGUCCUGAGGGAGAAAGCGGGGGAUCGCAAGACCUCGCGCGAUUGGAGUGGCCGAUGUCAGAUUAGCUAGUUGGUGGGGUAAAGGCCUACCAAGGCAACGAUCUGUAGCUGGUCUGAGAGGAUGAUCAGCCACACUGGGACUGAGACACGGCCCAGACUCCUACGGGAGGCAGCAGUGGGGAAUUUUGGACAAUGGGGGCAACCCUGAUCCAGCCAUUCCGCGUGAGUGAAGAAGGCCUUCGGGUUGUAAAGCUCUUUCGGCAGGAACGAAACGGCGAGCUCUAACAUAGCUCGCUAAUGACGGUACCUGAAGAAGAAGCACCGGCUAACUACGUGCCAGCAGCCGCGGUAAUACGUAGGGUGCGAGCGUUAAUCGGAAUUACUGGGCG
Molecule: ribosomal RNA, 519 nt
Filed under: uncultured Pseudomonadota bacterium
Lineage: Bacteria; Pseudomonadati; Pseudomonadota
Description: bacterial SSU rRNA
Rfam family: Bacterial small subunit ribosomal RNA
Source: RNAcentral